AGAGGAGGAGGGAGGGCAACAGCAAGUGUGAACUCUCAUUGAAAAGAGAGGGGAGAGGAGGGCAGUAUGAAGUUUUAACCCUCAUAUGGAAAGUCAAGAGGCGGUGAAGAAGAGAAGAGGUGGAGGAGGGAGGGCCAAAACAAGUGUGAAUUCUUAUUGAAAAGAGAAGAGAGGAUGCCAGAGGUCAACAGGAAGUCUGUCGGAUGCAAAUGAGAGGAGAUGAAAAGGGACAGAAAAAGCCACUGUACCUGCGAGAUAAAAUGACUGAACCAGAUUGCAGAAAGAUGAAUUCACUGGACCAAACUUCAGAAGCUGCCAGAAGUGAAACUCAUCUCACCACAAUGACUUUUGACACAAUCAAACAGUAAACAUGUGUUUCCAAUAAAAAGUCAAAACGAGAA
Molecule: long non-coding RNA, 401 nt
Organism: Acanthopagrus latus (yellowfin seabream)
Lineage: Eukaryota; Metazoa; Chordata; Actinopteri; Spariformes; Sparidae
Exons: 6
Source: RefSeq, a predicted model, not a curated record